This 1412-nucleotide ribosomal RNA is filed under the name Bacillus subtilis. RNAcentral's name for it is "bacterial SSU rRNA". It matches the Rfam family "Bacterial small subunit ribosomal RNA". The record is from RNAcentral. Lineage: Bacteria; Bacillati; Bacillota; Bacilli; Caryophanales; Bacillaceae.
CUUGCUCCCUGAUGUUAGCGGCGGACGGGUGAGUAACACGUGGGUAACCUGCCUGUAAGACUGGGAUAACUCCGGGAAACCGGGGCUAAUACCGGAUGCUUGUUUGAACCGCAUGGUUCAAACAUAAAAGGUGGCUUCGGCUACCACUUACAGAUGGACCCGCGGCGCAUUAGCUAGUUGGUGAGGUAAUGGCUCACCAAGGCAACGAUGCGUAGCCGACCUGAGAGGGUGAUCGGCCACACUGGGACUGAGACACGGCCCAGACUCCUACGGGAGGCAGCAGUAGGGAAUCUUCCGCAAUGGACGAAAGUCUGACGGAGCAACGCCGCGUGAGUGAUGAAGGUUUUCGGAUCGUAAAGCUCUGUUGUUAGGGAAGAACAAGUAUCGUUCGAAUAGGGCGGUACCUUGACGGUACCUAACCAGAAAGCCACGGCUAACUACGUGCCAGCAGCCGCGGUAAUACGUAGGUGGCAAGCGUUGUCCGGAAUUAUUGGGCGUAAAGGGCUCGCAGGCGGUUUCUUAAGUCUGAUGUGAAAGCCCCCGGCUCAACCGGGGAGGGUCAUUGGAAACUGGGGAACUUGAGUGCAGAAGAGGAGAGUGGAAUUCCACGUGUAGCGGUGAAAUGCGUAGAGAUGUGGAGGAACACCAGUGGCGAAGGCGACUCUCUGGUCUGUAACUGACGCUGAGGAGCGAAAGCGUGGGGAGCGAACAGGAUUAGAUACCCUGGUAGUCCACGCCGUAAACGAUGAGUGCUAAGUGUUUAGGGGGUUUCCGCCCCUUAGUGCUGCAGCUAACGCAUUAAGCACUCCGCCUGGGGGAGUACGGUCGCAAGACUGAAACUCAAAGGAAUUGACGGGGGCCCGCACAAGCGGUGGAAGCAUGUGGUUUAAUUCNAAGCAACGCGAAGAACCUUACCAGGUCUUGACAUCCUCUGACAAUCCUAGAAGAUAGGACGUCCCCUUCGGGGGCAGAGUGACAGGUGGUGCAUGGUUGUCGUCAGCUCGUGUCGUGAGAUGUUGGGUUAAGUCCCGCAACGAGCGCAACCCUUGAUCUUAGUUGCCAGCAUUCAGUUGGGCACUCUAAGGUGACUGCCGGUGACAAACCGGAGGAAGGUGGGGGAUGACGUCAAAUCAUCAUGGCCCCUUAUGACCUGGGCUACACACGUGCUUACAAUGGACAGAACAAAGGGCAGCGAAACCCGCGAGGUUAAGCCAAUCCCACAAAUCUGUUCUCAGUUCGGAUCGCAGUCUGCAACUCGACUGCGUGGAAGCUGGAAUCGCUAGUAAUCGCGGANNAGCAUGCCCGCGGUGAAUACGUUCCCGGGCCUUGUACACCACCGCCCGUCACACCACGAGAUGUUUGUAACACCCGAAAGUCGGUGGAGGUNAACCUUUAGGAGCCAGCCGCCNNAA